Molecule: unclassified non-coding RNA, 220 nt
Filed under: uncultured Helotiales
Lineage: Eukaryota; Fungi; Ascomycota; Leotiomycetes; Helotiales
Description: sequence contains ITS2
Source: RNAcentral
AACGCACAUUGCGCCUCUUGUUGUUCCGGGGGCAUGCCUGUUCAAGAGUCAUUUCGACCCUCAAGCUCUGCUUGGUCUUGGGCCGCGCCGGUCGGGCCACAAAAACAGUGGCGGCGCCAUCGUGUCCCUCGGCAUAUUAAUUUUUCUCGCUGUUGGGUCCUCGUGGCUGCUGGCCAGCAACCCCCAAUAUUUCUAUGGUUGACCUCGGAUCAGGUAGGGA